Molecule: long non-coding RNA, 864 nt
Filed under: Equus caballus (horse)
Lineage: Eukaryota; Metazoa; Chordata; Mammalia; Perissodactyla; Equidae
Description: lncRNA (ENSECAG00000047869.1)
Source: RNAcentral
CAAGAGUGGAGCAAGGGCAGGAAGUCUCUGGAGAUGCACAUUUCUUCUUGUCUCCAGCCCCUCUCAGAAAAUGAGCCUUAUGUUGGUGACUGCCUUGGAUGGGAGAGAGGAACAUCUGGAAUUUACCAGGCUCCGUGGCAAGUCUCUCCCUAUCUUCAAACGCAAGUAUUGGCUCAGUUCAUCCCUAAGGGUCUUUCCAACUCUAGCAUGCUGAGAUGCUGUGACUGGUUCUGCUGCCAUGCUCCAUGCUGGCGUGGGCAGGAGGUGGCCCUGCUUUUCUCAAGAGUGACUGUAGCUGGAAAGGAAAUUUGCGAGUGAAGAUAUGAACCUCGGAAUGAAUCCCAAGCUUGAGAAGAGAGAAUACGCCUGUUCCUCACACUGGCAUCAGACGCAGGUCAAAAAUGAGCCUGAGUAGCUCCUGUUUGGUGAGAUAAAAUCCUGUCUUGGAAGGCAGGGAGAAGGGGACAAGCAGACCAUGGUGACAACAGGAACAGGCGCUGGCAGCUUCGGCCACUGCAGCCAGACACCCGUUUUCACCCCCGGGUCUCCUCCAGCAGUUGUCUCCUCAGUGCCUGUCCUCUGCGCGUAUUUCAGGCAGCAAAGAUGUUGCCCAGUUCGUCUUGGCAGCAGCGCUACAAGUUUGUCAGUCCAGCACCAUGAUCCUGUUUCACAAAUGGAGAAACUGAGAGUCAAUGCAAUUACAGGUUUCCCCCGUUACCUGAAAGUUUGCUUUACACUGCUUUGUUUUACGAAAAACCCACGUUGGUAUCUGCUUUCACAAAGAAAUUGAAGAGGGGUUUUGCUUUUACAAAAAAAGGUGAAAAGUGGAAACAGCCUUCAGCCUUUGUUUUGCAGCGAGUUGCU